UUUGCUACUAAUAGUUAAGAUGCCCUUGGGCUUAAUAGGGAAUCCGGUAGAAUCCGGAACUGUCCCCGCAACUGUAAGUGUGGACGAAAUAGGCUAACCCACUGUAUGCCAAUACGGGAAGGGCCUAAAGUAGGAGGAUACACGAGUCAGGAGACCUGUCUUAGCUAUCAAAGUUUC
RNAcentral lists this non-coding RNA (177 nucleotides) under Bacillus sp. (in: firmicutes). RNAcentral also lists the same sequence under 1 other name. The record is from RNAcentral. Lineage: Bacteria; Bacillati; Bacillota; Bacilli; Caryophanales; Bacillaceae.